RNAcentral lists this ribosomal RNA (486 nucleotides) under Eubosmina hagmanni. RNAcentral describes it as "partial large subunit 16S ribosomal RNA". It matches the Rfam family "Bacterial large subunit ribosomal RNA", at positions 1838 to 2597 of the family's 2925-position model. The record is from RNAcentral. Lineage: Eukaryota; Metazoa; Arthropoda; Branchiopoda; Diplostraca; Bosminidae.
CUUAAAAAUUUAAGGUACUGCCUGCUCAAUGCUUUAGUAAAUAGCCGCAGUAUUUUGACUGUGCUAAGGUAGCAUAAUCAUUAGUCUCUUGAUUGGAGGCUGGUAUGAAUGGCAAGACGAGAAAGAAGCUGUCUCUAAAAAAUCUAUCGAAAUUCAUUUUUUAGUGAAAAAGCUAAAAUGAAUUCAAGGGACGAUCAGACCCUAUGGAGCUUUAUUUAAUUGAGAAUUUAAGUUUGAGAAAAUUAAUUUUUCAGGAAAUUUUGUUGGGGCGACAAAGAGUUUUAAGUAACACUCUUUUUAAAAAACAUAAAUUAAUGGAUAAAGGAUCCCCAAAGAGGGAUUAGAAGACUAAGUUACCCUAGGGAUAACAGCGUAAUUUUUUUGGAGAGUUCAAAUCGAUAAAAAAGUUUGCGACCUCGAUGUUGGAUUAGGAAUUUAGCUAGGUGCAGAAGUUUAGCUGUAGAGUCUGUUCGACUUUAAAAUCCU